Molecule: long non-coding RNA, 3737 nt
Filed under: Mus musculus (house mouse)
Lineage: Eukaryota; Metazoa; Chordata; Mammalia; Rodentia; Muridae
Description: long non-coding RNA chr17:50688343-50692080
Source: RNAcentral
GGCAAUGUGCAGUGUGACUAAGGCUGCCUGGCUGAAGAUGUGCUGUGUCAGCAUGGGCAGCCGGGUGGAAGCCGCACCUUGUACAUAGAUUUUCACUGUAUGUUGUAGUGGUCACAUUAAAGAUAUCUUUUAUGAUAUUUCUCCAAUAGCAGUACAUGCUUUUAGUGAAACUUUAACUUUUAAAACCUGUUCUCUUUCAAGAAGCCAAUUACUUUUUAAAUGACUGCUAAAAUGUAAGUCACCUGAGUCGCUGUCCGGCUUUUAGGAUGGUUGUGAUGCAAGCUCAGACCCCACACUGGCCUCUGCACACAUGAGUCACCCCCUCCCCCCGCCCCAGCCAAGGGCGCCAUGCUGCCUGCAAUUGUGAGCAGAAUCGAGCGGGGGCAGGUUAUACUUCCCUGCGGAGCCACCAAUGGCCAAUGCCUCAGUUUCGUCUGAGAAUCUUUCUCCUUCAUAGUGAAGGGCACCUGGACCAGUUAAUUUUUUUAGUCUGAUCUUUUCUUUCGAAACCAGUGAAACUUCAUGGUAUUUUUGAGAGUCAAGAAUCCUGCCAUCUAAUGCUUCCCACAUACCACACUUUGUUUCCCUUUGGAAGAGAGAGGUUCUAAGUGUUCAGUGGGCGUUGGUUUGGUCAGCUAUUGGGACAUCCACUUAUAUACUAGGUGGCCUGCAACUGACCUCACAGACCUUCCUCCCAUGGGCCAUGCUCAUGCAGGUGUGUGCUCCUAAACCCAGUGCAUUGCUCACUUCCCCCUAAUAAUGCCCAUCUCCAUCGGCCCUUGGCCAGGUGUGAGUCUCAUUGGAAAACUCUUCCAUUGAUAAUAGAUAAACACUACUCAGUAGCUGAGGCUCUUAGAGAUGAACUCUGGAUAGGGAGAAAAAUGAAUGGAAAAUAGCACAGAAUAAUUAGAUGCACAAAGUAAUGGAGAACAUUGUUAGUGGUCCUUAAACUUAGCAAAUAGCACUCAAUUUGACGUUUAAAACUCUAGAAAUGAUCUCUAAAGGUGACUUAAAAUACAGUGAAGUGAAAAUAUGGCUGUGUCUGUAAUAAUGGUGGUUAUCAUACAAUAUGCAAGUCAAGUGACUGUAAUUGUAAGACAUGUAACUUGUUGAGGCUCAUACAGGCCUAAAAUCAGGGAUCUUAGAACUAAAGGAGUCGAAACUGAGCGUGGACCUGUGAUCCCAGCACUUCAGAGACCGAGACGUGUUACACUGUGAGACUCUGUCUCAAAACAACAGAAAACUGGGGGAGUUGCCAUCAUUCACACUGACAUGUUUGUUCCGGAUGUGGAAGCUGUGGGUGCCUGAAGUCUCAACAUCCAACAUGUUGGUGCUACCUAGCCAAGCUUCUUUUGGUCUCCUUAAAGCAAUAUGCUUUAACAAGUAGUGGAGAAGUGCAGGCACAGUGUCAGGAGGGUUCCCACAGCAGUGGGUGUCCACUGCUUCUCUAGUUCCUGCCCUAAGGAAUAUGCCACCUGUCACUGAGGACAGUGCCUGUCAGCAGAGCCUGAAUCAGGUGCGCUCUUCAUCAUCCAAAUGGAAAGAGAAGACAUUUGUCAAGAUGGAUAGAGUAAGGCUAUGAUUUACAGGCUUCUGGAAACAAUUCUUUUGUAAAGGUCUCUCUGGCUCACUCUGUAACGAACUGUAUCCCGCUGGUAAACAAAAUCACGAUCCUUGUUUUGGGGCUUCAGGAGUUGUGGGGACAGUCAGGGUAGUGUGCAGGUUGAUUGCCCUUCAUCAUCUGCAUCUGUUCGCAGGGAGCAGCAUGUGAGUUACCUUAGGUACAAAUCCCCAUGGGUUUGCCACGAGUGUGUGUGUGUGUGUCUGUCUGUCUGUCUGUCUGUCUAUAUGGGUCUGUGUAAUCCAGGACAGCGCAGGAACAACAGGCAAUAGGCAAAUCUUCAUUGAGGACCCAGGAAAAUGGAGACCUAGGUGGGAAUUCACAAAAAAAUGGCAAACAUCUAUUGGGUCCUGUAGAAACAAAAAAGUCACAUUGUGUGUGUGAAUGAAGCCAAGAUAAGGGUGAUGGUUUUGCCCACAGAGUAAACACAGGAACAUCUCUGAACAUACUAAGCAUAUGCUGCCACUUCUCCACGCUGAGUAAAUUGAUCUUCCACAAAAGUUUAUCCUUUGUAGACAUGGCGGGUCUGGAUUUUUUUUUUUUUUUGGUUGUUGGAUUGAUUGAUUGAUUGAUUGAUUGAUUGACUGCUUUUACUAGCCAUGGCUUCUGGAUAAUGGGAAAGAAGUCAUAGAGACUUGACUGCUUACCUCUGGCACCUCAGGGCCCUGUGACCCCGGAGCCAGACUGUGGGGAGGGAUGCAGUCUUAGGCUGGAAGUUUAAGGUAGAAUAAGGAGGUUGUCCUUGUCACUCAAAUAGAGUUGGGGCCCUGUAGCUUAGCUUGUCUUUGCUACUUUAUGAAUCCUUUCUUCCACCCGUCUUCACCCUUUUUCUUUCAGCCACCUAACACUAGAUAAGAGAGAGAGAAAAAAAAUAGAGAGGAAAGGAAAGAGAUCCCUGAAUAAAGUCAGGAUGGAAAGGCGUGUCAUUAUUAUUGUUAGACUACUUCCUGCUGAUUAGGGGAUUGAGUUCCUUGGGGCAAGUUUGAUCUUUGCCAGCAGGAUAUCUGAUUACUUCUUGUUUCUUUUUUUGUGCACGAGAGUAUUUAACAAACUACAAUCAACAACAGGCAACAACGAACAACAUUCAACCAGCAACCCACCAACAACCACCCGCCUCCCAGACCACUAGCAUUUAUAUACCCUUUGAAAAGUCCCCAGAAUUCCAAACGUCACACAACCACAGAAACUAUCUGCAGCUGGCAGAAUCAUGCCCCUACCAGAGCACGAGGCAAAUCACAGCCAGUUGCUGUGGACAAUCUGAAGCAGCCCCAUAUCUCACACCCAGGAUUAAAAUAAAAACAUAUUCUUAUGCUAUUUCUUUUUUCUUUUUUUUUUAAAGAAACCAAAAUUCCAGAAUUGUCACUACAUUUUUCCCUCUGUUUUAAGCCAUUAAUUAUGCUGGGUGUAGUGGAAAACUAUAAUAGAGAUAUUUUUUAAUGAAAUAAGCACUUUUUGGAUCGGUGACCAAGGUUUUCCGGAGACUCUCCUACUUUAAUCUUUAUAAGUUUUGAUAGUAUCUUUUCCCAUGGAAAUAUAAGCACCCAUGUCCCCAAUGCAAAACUGUUACUGGCUUCCAUUCUGAUGUUAAUACAUCUUAUAGUAUAUAGGUGGAUUUAAUUCCACAGUUCUUUUCUAUAACCCAGUGUCUUCUGGCUGCUGUUGUUCUAGACAGCCUGAACUAAUUACUGUGGGGCCUUGAGCUGUGCCCCACCCCCACCCCAAAACACAUACACACAGACGCAUUUUGUUUACUGAUGGCAAGAAAUUGCCUUAGUUAUCUCCUUUUGAAUCUACAAUCCUAAAACCAAUGGCAGCCUUUGCCACAUCCCAUACACACCCUGGGAAGCUUUAGCGGUUUGUAUAUGCUCAGCCCAGUGGCACUGUUGGGAGGUGUGGCCUUGUUGGAGUAGGUGUAACCUUGUGGGGUGGGCUUUAAUGCCCUUGUCCUGGCUGCCUGGCAAUCUGUCUUCCACUAGGAGUCUUCAGAUGAAGAUGUAGAACUCUCAGCCCCUCUUGCACCAUGCCUACCUGGAUGCUACCAUGUUCCUGCCUUGACAAUAAUGGACUGAACCUCUGAACCUGUAAGCCAGCCCCAAUUAAAUGCUGUCCUUAUUAG